RNAcentral lists this ribosomal RNA (625 nucleotides) under Salmonella enterica subsp. enterica serovar Newport. RNAcentral's name for it is "bacterial SSU rRNA". It matches the Rfam family "Bacterial small subunit ribosomal RNA", at positions 1 to 615 of the family's 1533-position model. The record is from RNAcentral. Lineage: Bacteria; Pseudomonadati; Pseudomonadota; Gammaproteobacteria; Enterobacterales; Enterobacteriaceae. RNAcentral also lists the same sequence under 1 other name.
AAAUUGAAGAGUUUGAUCAUGGCUCAGAUUGAACGCUGGCGGCAGGCCUAACACAUGCAAGUCGAACGGUAACAGGAAGCAGCUUGCUGCUUUGCUGACGAGUGGCGGACGGGUGAGUAAUGUCUGGGAAACUGCCUGAUGGAGGGGGAUAACUACUGGAAACGGUGGCUAAUACCGCAUAACGUCGCAAGACCAAAGAGGGGGACCUUCGGGCCUCUUGCCAUCAGAUGUGCCCAGAUGGGAUUAGCUUGUUGGUGAGGUAACGGCUCACCAAGGCGACGAUCCCUAGCUGGUCUGAGAGGAUGACCAGCCACACUGGAACUGAGACACGGUCCAGACUCCUACGGGAGGCAGCAGUGGGGAAUAUUGCACAAUGGGCGCAAGCCUGAUGCAGCCAUGCCGCGUGUAUGAAGAAGGCCUUCGGGUUGUAAAGUACUUUCAGCGGGGAGGAAGGUGUUGUGGUUAAUAACCGCAGCAAUUGACGUUACCCGCAGAAGAAGCACCGGCUAACUCCGUGCCAGCAGCCGCGGUAAUACGGAGGGUGCAAGCGUUAAUCGGAAUUACUGGGCGUAAAGCGCACGCAGGCGGUCUGUCAAGUCGGAUGUGAAAUCCCCGGGCUCAACCU